RNAcentral lists this non-coding RNA (413 nucleotides) under Pan troglodytes (chimpanzee). Lineage: Eukaryota; Metazoa; Chordata; Mammalia; Primates; Hominidae. The record is from RNAcentral.
GUCCUCAAGUUUCAUCCAUGUUGUAGCAUGUGUCAGAAAUUCCUUCCUUUUUAAGGCUGAAUAACAUUCCAUUGCAUGCAUAGACUACAUUUUGCUUCUCUGUCCAUUCGCUGAUGGGCACUUGGGCUCCUUCCACCUCUUGGCUGUUGUGAAUAGAGCUGCAAUGAACAUGGAUGUACAAAUAUCUGUUCACAUUGAGAUCUCUCUCCUUUGGAAAAGGCAGGGCAAAUGUGAAAAAAAAAAUCAUACUUUCCUGAUUUAUUGUGACUCAAAAUUUCCCACACCUACUUCUUAUUUUUGAAAAGUAGAUGUCACAAUUAGUAAAAAUCCUGAAAAUUUUGAGUGAAAUAUGUUAGGUGAUUUCCCUUCGUAAGAAUAUAAAAGAAGUAAAAUAAAAUGAUGCUGAAUCUUUA